ACAGGGACUACAGCUAAGAAGUCAACAUGAAGCAAGUCUCUAAAAUGAUCAGGAAUAUUUUUCAUAUGAUUUUUCUUCACUGAAGUAAAUCCGAGCACUUGAAACUCAUCUUUGGAUAAACUGGAAUGAACCUGAUUCCCUUGAUAUGGGAUGGAAAGUCAAAGAAAAUGGAAAGACUGUUUCAUAGCAUCUACAUCUUCCUGCAAGAAUGGAGUACUACAGGGAAAACAAAUAAAGGUUCUACAGGACUUGAAGCAUGCUGCUAUAAACUCAGAUUAGCCAAGUACAUCUGUAUGAAUAUCCAUGAUGUCUCCCCGGUUCAUUUCAAAGACAGAUUUUGACCAGAGACUCUAGAACUGUUGGAAUCUGCUAGAUAAGGGAUAAUGUCUGACAUUUUUUUGAGGCUUGUUUGAUCAGGUCUGAUCUAGUUUUUCCAUCUCUGUCUUUUCAUUCAAUUUUUCCAUUACUAACUACUUCCACCUCCACACAUACCCCUUUUCUCUUUUCUUUUUUUCCUGAACAAUUUUUUUUAAACAUUAAGAGUCACUUCAUAACCAAAGCAAGCAGUAAAUAAUCCAGUAAUCAUCACCAGGCUUAGUACCUCUGGUCAGAGGACUAAUUUGCUGAAAAGAAAGCCUCUUUCUUCCAGCUUUCUUUCUAAAGAUCAAACCAGCACACCAUCAGAAG
Molecule: long non-coding RNA, 687 nt
Organism: Harpia harpyja (harpy eagle)
Lineage: Eukaryota; Metazoa; Chordata; Aves; Accipitriformes; Accipitridae
Exons: 3
Source: RefSeq, a predicted model, not a curated record